AUUCCAGCUUCAAUAGCGUAUAUCUAAGUUGUUGCAGUUAAAAAGCUCGUAGUUGGAUAUCUGUGUUGGAUAUUGGGUCUUGGGAAACCGAGUUACUUCAGUAUUUGGCAUAUAUUUUGUGAGGCUCCAUUCUGACAUUAAGUUGUUGGUUUGAUAGGCUCGCAUCGUUUACUGUGAAAAAAUUAGAGUGUUUCAAGCAGGCGUUUGCUUUUAAAUACAUUAGCAUGGAAUAAUAAGAUAUGACUUGUGUGGUCUAUUUUGUUGGUUUGCACACGCAAGUAAUGAUUAAUAGGGACAGUUGGGGGUAUUCAUAUUUCAGUGUCAGAGGUGAAAUUCUUGGAUCGCUGAAAGAUGAGCUUAGGCGAAAGCAUUUACCAUGGAUGUUUUCAUUA
This 392-nucleotide ribosomal RNA is filed under the name Oomycota sp. RNAcentral describes it as "Oomycetes sp. partial small subunit ribosomal RNA". It matches the Rfam family "Eukaryotic small subunit ribosomal RNA", at positions 582 to 975 of the family's 1831-position model. The record is from RNAcentral. Lineage: Eukaryota; Oomycota.